AAACUUUACUAACUCUAUUCAUUCAUUUUUAAUGACACUCAAGUUUAUGAUUUAUCCACAGAAGCAGCACUGUCUAUAUCUGUCUCUGUCAGUCUUUAUGUGUCUGUAUUUGUUAGUAGCUCUCUGUGUCUGUACCUGUCUUUAUUUUUGUCCUUAUCUGUUUGUUUCUGUUUGUAUCCCUCUAUAAAUGUCUACAUCUGUUUUGAUCGGUCUCUUUCUGUUUUUAUCUGUCUGUGUCUAUUUGUAUUUCUGUCUGUAUCUGUAUGUCUGCAUCUGUCCGUAUCUUGUCUGUCAUCCAUCCCUCAGUUCUCUUGGUGCCCCCCUCUAACAGUCCCCUACACACAAACAGGUUUCAGGGGUACUGAGAGUCCAUCUGCUGACCUGCAUGUCUCUCUGCUGGUCUCAGUAUUUCUGAUCUGCUCUCAGGUUGCUGGUCUCUGUGUUUCUGCUCUUCUCUCAGGCUGCUGGUCUCGGUGUUCCUGGUUUGCUCUCAGGCUGCUGGUUUUGGUGACAGGUGAUGGAUGGAGGCUUUUCUAACCCUGUAAGUGCUCUAAAAACUCAUUCAGGCUUUCAUCACCAAACACGUCUGUAAGGGGAUGUGCUAAUAGCCCCUCUUCUAUCAAGUUAUUUGUAUGUCUAAAUAAUUUCAGAAAUUAAACUAUUAAUCAUGGGGAGGGGGCGGCUGACACCAAGCAUGCUGAGCUGCUCCUAAAUGCACAGUGAGGUGUUUAUGGUCAGCUCCGUCAAACUGCUCUAAUUGCUUAAUUGCUCGUCUGUUGGUGGCUGUUAAAAGUUCCCGUCUGCGCAGAAUUUCAGCCGAAUUAUCCAAAGUAAAACCAAAUGUGUGCUUUGAGGUUUUAAUAAAGAUAUGAGAGUGUUUGUAGGUUUUUCUUUGUAGGGCUCCAGGUGGAGGUGCUCACCUUCAGAGGAGAAAUGUGUCAAAGAAAAGCGGCUCUCUGUCUGAUCCUGGUCUGAUCUCAGCAGAGAGAGGAGCUGAGUGGAAAAAGGAGAGAUGUUCACCCGUGGAGGUGAGCGGAGGUGUUGCUGCUUCACGCUCCGGCAGCUCUGUGAGGCGUUCACGGCCGCAGCGAUCCCACAGUCUCUUUGUUAUUACGCAGGUCCAAGUCCAACACAAAGAGAUCCAGUGUUUUUGAUAUGAGUAAUGCAUUAACCUGCUCAGCAAAAGUUCAGCUUAAACGUAUGGGCUUGGACAGCACAAGAUUUAUGACGAUGGCUGAAGAAAUUAUGCUUUUCUUCCCCCAAAGACACUUUAAUUGUGUAAUUACUGCCAGCUGCUUUUCAUUUAAGGCUGUCUUUAAUUAGGGCGAGAGGUCCGCGGUUCAAGCCCCCCCCCCUCCUCCAGGAUGAUUAGCCAAAUCCUCCGCUAAACUCAUUUGUUAUUCAGGCUUUGCGCGCAGCCUCCCGUCGGGCCGCAGACAGAACCCCGGAGCCCAAUUUCCUUCACAGCCGCCCUCCUUAUCCUCCACCUCAUCAGCAACAAUUGUCCUGAAAUAAGCAGCAGCAUAUCUGUGUUUGCUUUCCUUAUUAGGCUCCAAAUGUAGAGAAAACAUAUCAGGAGCGGGGAGCCGAGAGGGCCCUGCACCUGAUAAUCUGAAUAAAUCUGUUCCAUCACAUUUUGCCACGGCCUCCUCCAGAGGAGCAGCAGGGGGGUGAGGAGGUGGAGGGUCCAGCAGAGGCCUGGGAGAGCAGGUUUGUGCUUUUCUGCAAGGUAAUUGGUGAAUUCUUAUUCAAGAUGUUCCAAACGAAGCAUCUGACUGUGAGGACUUUAAUUUCUGUCUACAGCAACCAAACCUGGAGGAGGACAAAGAAAAAGAGGGUCUGCAGAGGGGGCAUCAGACCACAAACAUCUGUGCUGGGUUUGGGAGGAAAACUCAAAUGUUUAAAGAAUGUAAAAAAAUUAAAAUAGAUAAAUAGAAACGUAUUUUUUUCUGUUAAAACAGAUGAAGGAAUAGAGGAUGGUCAUAAUAAUGAUAAUUAUAAUAAUAAUAAUAAUAAUCAUUAUUAUUAUUAUUAUU
Non-coding RNA from Xyrichtys novacula (pearly razorfish), 2036 nucleotides. NCBI's taxonomy places the organism in Eukaryota, Metazoa, Chordata, Actinopteri, Labriformes, Labridae. The record is from the annotation of a GenBank genome assembly.